Molecule: long non-coding RNA, 1250 nt
Organism: Dreissena polymorpha
Lineage: Eukaryota; Metazoa; Mollusca; Bivalvia; Myida; Dreissenidae
Exons: 2
Source: RefSeq, a predicted model, not a curated record
UAGAAGUUUAAAAGCAGCUGUCACACACAUUUUCACUAAGUGCAGUUUGCAGCUUGAUAAAGGAAGUCCUAUGUGGAGAUAUUAAUAAGCUUGAAUGUAGUAUCGGAAGUUUAUAAUGCAUGGCUAGGGAACUGAGGCUAAGGGAGUUAUGUGCUGUGCAUGAUGAGAACUCAAUGCUCAUUAAUGCUGUUAAUGUUUAUAAAUAAAUUAAUUAAACCAAUAGCAUUGUUUUUUAGGUUUCACUGUGCAUUUUCAUACCAAUAGAAUUACACAUCAUUCUAAUUAUAGCAAUAAUAAAUUUGUACUAAUCAUACCUACAAAUUUUGUUAUGCUAUGCUUUGUGAUGUAUUAACUUCAUUGUAAGUUAUUAUUUAAAGACAAUUUUACUAAAUAUUUAAAACAAUACUUGAAUUAUUUGCUAUAUACAUUUUCAUUAUGUGCUUUAACUGUAGCUGACCAGUUGAUGGAAGAUACUGCAGAGUUUGGCAGGGAAAUAACCCAAGACAGCAAAGCGGCUCUUUUGGCGCAUUUACCAAGAGGACUAACAUGGCCACAAAUUCAUGAGAUCAUGCAGGAGCCGUACAGUAUAACAGCAGUACAAGUUCUAUAAAAGAUCCACGACCUACUGAAGCCCAGCUAAUUAACAAAAAAGUUUUUAAAAACUGUAAUUUUAUCCCACCUGGGUACUUAUAAUUUACUAAGCUGCCUUCACAAGUUUUAGACUUGCAAUUAUAUUUUAAACUGUCACUUGGAAAGUAAUACAUGUACAUGCAUUAUGUUCUGAAUUUCUUUGAACAAUAAAAUUAUAUAAAAGUAUUUUAAUGAAAUUGAGCACCUAAAUUGCAUUAAAGUGAAAGUAGCUGAGAAAAAUAGUAUCCUUGUGCUCAUGGGCAGCUACAUAUAUUGUGACAAACAUGUAGUAGCUAAAAUAACUUAAAUUUUUCAUUUUGUUUCUUGUAUAUCGUUUGUACAGGGUUCGUGAAUUGUUACUGUAUAUUACUUGACUUGCUUGUAUUUUGUUACUUUGAAUACAUGUUGUUAAGGUUGCAUUAUACUUUUUAACUUUUAAAGUAGCGCCUGUUCUGUUAUGUAAGGGCCUGAUUUAUGAUAAUGGACCUAGAGGCUUUGUAAGCAUGUAUUAAACAACACUUGUUUGAUCUGAAUAAUUUGUUAAAUAAAUGUAACACAAUUUGUAAUCUGAUGUUAUAUUUUGAUGAAUUGUGAACAAAAUAAUACAUCGAAGAAACUAA